RNAcentral lists this ribosomal RNA (505 nucleotides) under uncultured Glomus. RNAcentral's name for it is "SSU rRNA". It matches the Rfam family "Eukaryotic small subunit ribosomal RNA", at positions 569 to 1077 of the family's 1831-position model. Lineage: Eukaryota; Fungi; Glomeromycota; Glomeromycetes; Glomerales; Glomeraceae. The record is from RNAcentral.
AGCAGCCGCGGUAAUUCCAGCUCCAAUAGCGUAUAUUAAAGUUGUUGCAGUUAAAAAGCUCGUAGUUGAAUUUCGGGGUUAGUAGGUUGGUCAUGCCUCUGGUAUGUACUGAUCUCACUGAUUCCUCCCUCUUGACGAACUGUAAUGUCAUUAAUUUGGUGUUGCAGGAAAUCAGGACUGUUACUUUGAAAAAAUUAGAGUGUUUAAAGCAGGCUUAGGCUUGAAUACAUUAGCAUGGAAUAAUGAAAUAGGACGUUUGAACCUAUUUUGUUGGUUUCUAGGAUCGACGUAAUGAUUAAUAGGGAUAGUUGGGGGCAUUAGUAUUCAAUUGUCAGAGGUGAAAUUCUUGGAUUUAUUGAAGACUAACUACUGCGAAAGCAUUUGCCAAGGAUGUUUUCAUUAAUCAAGAACGAAAGUUAGGGGAUCGAAGACGAUCAGAUACCGUCGUAGUCUUAACCAUAAACUAUGCCGACUAGGGAUCGGAUGAUGUAAUUUUUAAUGACUC